Anthonomus grandis grandis is the source of this 613-nucleotide long non-coding RNA. RefSeq lists it as uncharacterized. The transcript has 3 exons. Lineage: Eukaryota; Metazoa; Arthropoda; Insecta; Coleoptera; Curculionidae. The record is from RefSeq and is a predicted model, not a curated record.
UCGAUACGGGGGGGUAUACCCUUAAAAUGAAAAAUCCCAAACUUUGGAGGUCCAUAUCUCGGCUUCUAUGGGCACUAUCGGGAAAAUUCCAACGGUUUUGACUUAGUUUCGUCCUUCUGAAUCCAACGAGACCAUCCGCAAGGUCGUAGCUCUUAUAUUAGCUGAGAUCUCGCAUUUUUGUAGCCCAUUUUUGGGCUCAAAAACGGGGUCGAAAAUUGACUUUUUUACGAAUUUUCAAAGUGCUAUAAUUCCACUUGUUCUGGUCGAAUUCCGUCAUAAUCCGGUGUUUUCGUAAUUUAGGUGAUGGGAAUAAGCCACUGAUAGGGGUUUCUAUAGCUAAUUUCGGGUUUAAAGAAAAUCGAUUUUUCGCAUUUUCAAAGUGCUGUAAUUCCCUUAGUUUUUCUCGAAACUCAUUAUAACCCGGUGUUUUCGUGUUGUAGGUGAUGGGAACAAGCCGCUGGUAUAGUUAGUUCAAAUUCGAAAAAAAUCAAUUUUUGGUGAAAAAUUCGAUACGGGGGGGUAUACCCUUAAAAUGAAAAAUCCCAAAUUUUGGAGGUCCAUAUCUCGGCUUCUAUGGGCACUAUCGGGAAAAUUCCAACGGUUUUGACUUAGU